GUACACUCCUGCGGGAGGCAGCAGUAGGGAAUCUUCGGCAAUGGACGAAAGUCUGACCGAGCAACGCCGCGUGAGUGAAGAAGGUUUUCGGAUCGUAAAACUCUGUUGUUAGAGAAGAACAAGGAUGAGAGUAGAACGUUCAUCCCUUGACGGUAUCUAACCAGAAAGCCACGGCUAACUACGUGCCAGCAGCCGCGGUAAUACGUAGGUGGCAAGCGUUGUCCGGAUUUAUUGGGCGUAAAGCGAGCGCAGGCGGUUUCUUAAGUCUGAUGUGAAAGCCCCCGGCUCAACCGGGGAGGGUCAUUGGAAACUGGGAGACUUGAGUGCAGAAGAGGAGAGUGGAAUUCCAUGUGUAGCGGUGAAAUGCGUAGAUAUAUGGAGGAACACCAGUGGCGAAGGCGGCUCUCUGGUCUGUAACUGACGCUGAGGCUCGAAAGCGUGGGGAGCGAACAGGAUUAGAAACCCGAGUAGUCC
RNAcentral lists this ribosomal RNA (474 nucleotides) under uncultured organism. Its description in RNAcentral is "partial 16S ribosomal RNA". It matches the Rfam family "Bacterial small subunit ribosomal RNA", at positions 331 to 796 of the family's 1533-position model. The record is from RNAcentral.